UUGGUGCAAAAGUAAUUGUGGUUUUUGCCAUUGAAAGUAAUGGCAAAAACUGCAAUAACUUUUGCACCAACCUAAUA
This 77-nucleotide microRNA precursor is filed under the name Gorilla gorilla gorilla (western lowland gorilla). RNAcentral describes it as "miRNA (ENSGGOG00000037603.1)". Lineage: Eukaryota; Metazoa; Chordata; Mammalia; Primates; Hominidae. The record is from RNAcentral.